CUUGGAGGCAGAAUCCAUGUAAGAUCCAGAUCUGAUCCACCCGGCACCCAGCACAGGAGGUUGGGGCCGGAAGCCCCUUCCGUUGCAGCCCCAUGACCAGGGUAGCUUUGUCUGACAAGCUAAGUCUCACACAUCCUCCCCUCCUGGCUUCUUUCACAUGUCCCAACUUAAUUGAUUUAAUAGAACUUUGUGGGACUCACCAACCAAGCAUGAAAUGGACCCGCGUGCUGCCGGGAGCCACCCAGUUAAUUAAAAGGCUGCAGAAAAACGAAGAUGCUGGAUACGAAUCAAAAUAAGUAAUUGCCAAAUUAGUCACCACCUGUGUCUUGUUGUCAACAGAGCCCAGUCUUCCUUUCACUCCCUGCCUGCUCAGAUUGCACAAUGAGGUCUCAACCGAAAGGCAAGAGUAAGAAAUGAGAGUGUUUCAGAGAUAGGACGUGCUCCUGCAUUUACUCUGGGGAAAUUCCAUCGACUCUGUUGGCAUUUAUUAGGCACCUACUACAUAUCUGACACUCUGCUGGGCACCGGAGACAUGGUGGUGAAGAAGGCUUUCGUAUCCAAGAGCUGAACAGAUGUAUUCUUCAAAGACAGCAGAAGGAUUCUGCUUGGUCCAGAUCCAAUUGCACCCUCCAGAGCAUCUGCGGAAGGAGGACCAAGGCUUCGCCAGCCUCCCAGAGUGGGUGACUGGGUUCCCUGCGGGUCUUUUCUUGGGCCAGGUCUUUGCUGUUCACAUCGCAACUCAUAUAUUACCUCGUCAGGGAAGCAUUCCUUCACCUAAUCCAAGAAGCCACUCUCCAAAAUAACUCAGCUACAGUAUUUGGAAGCUUAAAACUUUGAGAAAUAUAUGUCUAUAAAUCAUUGUAUUUUUUUAGAAGACAGUGUUGUGGUUGUUUUCUUCAUUUUCUUUAU
RNAcentral lists this long non-coding RNA (909 nucleotides) under Equus asinus (donkey). RNAcentral's name for it is "lncRNA (ENSEASG00005036516.1)". The record is from RNAcentral. Lineage: Eukaryota; Metazoa; Chordata; Mammalia; Perissodactyla; Equidae.